GGAUGAUGUCAAGGCCAGCAUGACCUUUAGUAUCCAGGGCUACACACACGCUACAAUGGUCUGUACAAUGGGUAGCCAAGCCGCGAGGCGGAGCCAAUCCUGAAAGCAGGCCUCAGUUCAGAUUGCAGUCUGCAACUCGACUGCAUGAAGCCGGAGUUGCUAGUAACCGCAGGUCAGCAAUACUGCGGUGAAUACGUUCCCGGGUCUU
Molecule: ribosomal RNA, 208 nt
Filed under: uncultured Anaerolineaceae bacterium
Lineage: Bacteria; Bacillati; Chloroflexota; Anaerolineae; Anaerolineales; Anaerolineaceae
Description: partial 16S ribosomal RNA
Rfam family: Bacterial small subunit ribosomal RNA
Source: RNAcentral